Molecule: non-coding RNA, 73 nt
Organism: Candidatus Roizmanbacteria bacterium
Lineage: Bacteria; Candidatus Roizmaniibacteriota
Source: Rfam
GAUCCGUUGGCGAAGUGGAAACGCGGCUGUCUGCAAAACAGCUAUUGCGCGGGUUCGAUUCCCGCACGGAUCU